AUUUGCAGAAGACAGCUGUAGGAAACGAUGGAAAGGACUGCGUGACACGUACAGAAAAUGUAAACGUGCACAGCGACUGGAUUCCGGCAGUGGUGCUCCUAUUCCAUGCAAAUCAUGCAUUUCAUAGCGGUCAUUUGUUUCUUAAGAGCGAAGGACGUACUUAAAGAACAUAUGUAUAUUUAACAACACGAAGAGUAUAGAGGGGAUAGAUUCCGUAAGUAUAUUUCAAACAACUAAAAUAAGAUAUAUUUUUAUAAUAAAUAGUCACCCACUUUCACAGGGUGGAUGGGCAAACAAUAAA
Molecule: non-coding RNA, 301 nt
Organism: Bactrocera oleae (olive fruit fly)
Lineage: Eukaryota; Metazoa; Arthropoda; Insecta; Diptera; Tephritidae
Source: RefSeq, a predicted model, not a curated record